GAUGAACGCUGGCGGCGUGCCUAAUACAUGCAAGUCGAGCGUACGGACGAGAAGCUUGCUUCUCUGAUGUUAGCGGCGGACGGGUGAGUAACACGUGGAUAACCUACCUAUAAGACUGGGAUAACUUCGGGAAACCGGAGCUAAUACCGGAUAAUAUUUUGAACCGCAUGGUUCAAAAGUAAAAGACGGUCUUGCUGUCUCUUAUAGAUGGAUCCGCGCUGCAUUAGCUAGUUGGUAAGGUAACGGCUUACCAAGGCAACGAUGCAUAGACGACCGGAGAGGGUGAUCGGCCACACUGGAACUGAGACGCGGUCCAGACUCCUACGGGAGGCAGCAGUAGGGAAUCUUACGCAAUGGGCGAGAGCCUGACGGAGCAACGCCGCGUGAGAGAUGAAGGUCUUCGGAUCGUAAAACUCUGUUAUUAGGGAAGAACAGAUGUGUAAGGAAAUGUGCACAGAUUGACGGUACCUAAUCAGAAAGCCACGGCUAACUACGUG
This 497-nucleotide ribosomal RNA is filed under the name uncultured bacterium. Its description in RNAcentral is "partial 16S ribosomal RNA". It matches the Rfam family "Bacterial small subunit ribosomal RNA", at positions 28 to 507 of the family's 1533-position model. The record is from RNAcentral.